AGCCGGACCUGCCAACCGCGAAGUUGCGGCUUCGGCGACUCCAGUGGCUUCAGGGCGGCACGUCCAGGCCAGGAGCCAUUGGCUCCGUCGGAGCACGAGGAACGCGGCCGAAGCCGCGCCCGGGCUCCCUUCGCUCGCUCCCUCAGCGCACGGCCGACCUUCGCCCUCGUCCCCAUGGCUACGCGACAGUCAAGAGCCUAUCGCCUGGCCUCCCUCUUCCGGCGGCCGGCGGGGCAGAGGUGCGGCCUCCCUGAGUCACAAACGCGCCCCGGGCCUGACUCAGCCCGGCCACAGCGCGCGCGCGCGCGCGUCCCCGCAGAGACCGGCCCCCCCAAACUGCGCCACACGCGCGGCAGGUCACGCGGCCG
This 368-nucleotide long non-coding RNA is filed under the name Rattus norvegicus (Norway rat). Its description in RNAcentral is "long non-coding RNA NONRATT024670". Lineage: Eukaryota; Metazoa; Chordata; Mammalia; Rodentia; Muridae. The record is from RNAcentral.